This 466-nucleotide ribosomal RNA is filed under the name uncultured bacterium. Its description in RNAcentral is "partial 16S ribosomal RNA". It matches the Rfam family "Bacterial small subunit ribosomal RNA", at positions 28 to 507 of the family's 1533-position model. The record is from RNAcentral.
GACGAACGCUGGCGGCGUGCUUAACACAUGCAAGUCGAACGGAAAGGCCUCUUUCGGGGGGUACUCGAGUGGCGAACGGGUGAGUAACACGUGAGUAACCUGCCCUUGACUUUGGGAUAACUUCAGGAAACUGGGGCUAAUACCGGAUAGGAGCUCCUGCUGCAUGGUGGGGGUUGGAAAGUUUCGGCGGUUGGGGAUGGACUCGCGGCUUAUCAGCUUGUUGGUGGGGUAGUGGCUUACCAAGGCUUUGACGGGUAGCCGGCCUGAGAGGGUGACCGGCCACAUUGGGACUGAGAUACGGCCAGACUCCUACGGGAGGCAGCAGUGGGGAAUAUUGCACAAUGGGUGGAAGCCUGAUGCAGCAACGCCGUGUGCGGGAUGACGGCCUUCGGGUUGGAAACCGCUUUCGCUCAUGACGAAGCUUUGUGUGACGGUAGUGGGUAAAGAAGCACCGGCUAACUACGUG